RNAcentral lists this ribosomal RNA (497 nucleotides) under uncultured bacterium. RNAcentral's name for it is "partial 16S ribosomal RNA". It matches the Rfam family "Bacterial small subunit ribosomal RNA", at positions 28 to 507 of the family's 1533-position model. The record is from RNAcentral.
GAUGAACGCUGGCGGCGUGCCUAAUACAUGCAAGUCGAGCGAACAGACGAGGAGCUUGCUCCUCUGACGUUAGCGGCGGACGGGUGAGUAACACGUGGAUAACCUACCUAUAAGACUGGGAUAACUUCGGGAAACCGGAGCUAAUACCGGAUAAUAUAUUGAACCGCAUGGUUCAAUAGUGAAAGACGGUUUUGCUGUCACUUAUAGAUGGAUCCGCGCCGCAUUAGCGAGUUGGUAAGGUAACGGCUUACCAAGGCGACGAUGCGUAGCCGACCUGAGAGGGUGAUCGGCCACACUGGAAGUGAGACACGGUACAGACUCCUACGGGAGGCAGCAGUAGGGAAUCUUCCGCAAUGGGCGGAAGCCUGACGGAGCAACGCCGCGUGAGUGAUGAAGGUCUUCGGAUCGUAAAACUCUGUUAUUAGGGAAGAACAAAUGUGUAAGUAACUAUGCACGUCUUGACGGUACCUAAUCAGAAAGCAACGGCUAACUACGUG